RNAcentral lists this ribosomal RNA (254 nucleotides) under uncultured bacterium. RNAcentral's name for it is "partial 16S ribosomal RNA". It matches the Rfam family "Bacterial small subunit ribosomal RNA", at positions 524 to 776 of the family's 1533-position model. The record is from RNAcentral.
UACAGAGGUCCCGAGCGUUGUUCGGAUCCACUGGGCGUAAAGGGUGCGUAGGUGGUGAGGUAAGUCGGAUGUGAAAUCUCCAGGCUCAACCUGGAGACGCCACUUGAUACUGCUGUGACUGGAGUCCGGUAGGGGAGCGUGGAAUUCCUGGUGUAGCGGUGAAAUGCGCAGAUAUCAGGAGGAACACCGGUGGCGAAGGCGGGUCUCUGGGCAGUAACUGACGCUGAGGAGCGAAAGCGUGGGGAGCGAACAGG